Molecule: ribosomal RNA, 550 nt
Filed under: Escherichia coli
Lineage: Bacteria; Pseudomonadati; Pseudomonadota; Gammaproteobacteria; Enterobacterales; Enterobacteriaceae
Also listed under: 1 other name
Description: partial 23S ribosomal RNA
Rfam family: Bacterial large subunit ribosomal RNA
Source: RNAcentral
GGGCGUUAAGUUGCAGGGUAUAGACCCGAAACCCGGUGAUCUAGCCAUGGGCAGGUUGAAGGUUGGGUAACACUAACUGGAGGACCGAACCGACUAAUGUUGAAAAAUUAGCGGAUGACUUGUGGCUGGGGGUGAAAGGCCAAUCAAACCGGGAGAUAGCUGGUUCUCCCCGAAAGCUAUUUAGGUAGCGCCUCGUGAAUUCAUCUCCGGGGGUAGAGCACUGUUUCGGCAAGGGGGUCAUCCCGACUUACCAACCCGAUGCAAACUGCGAAUACCGGAGAAUGUUAUCACGGGAGACACACGGCGGGUGCUAACGUCCGUCGUGAAGAGGGAAACAACCCAGACCGCCAGCUAAGGUCCCAAAGUCAUGGUUAAGUGGGAAACGAUGUGGGAAGGCCCAGACAGCCAGGAUGUUGGCUUAGAAGCAGCCAUCAUUUAAAGAAAGCGUAAUAGCUCACUGGUCGAGUCGGCCUGCGCGGAAGAUGUAACGGGGCUAAACCAUGCACCGAAGCUGCGGCAGCGACACUAUGUGUUGUUGGGUAGGGGAGCG